Molecule: non-coding RNA, 153 nt
Organism: Paramuricea clavata
Lineage: Eukaryota; Metazoa; Cnidaria; Anthozoa; Malacalcyonacea; Plexauridae
Source: the annotation of a GenBank genome assembly
GGGAUGAUGGCUCCCAGCAUUAUGUCAUAAAAUAAAGCUCUCCGAUUUGCUAAAAAAUUUUAAAAUUUAAAAAAAACUCUGAUUGGCUGGCUAAAAUUUCCCAGCGAAUCACGGAGCUUUAUUUUGUGAUGUAACGCUGGAAGCCAUCAUCCC